RNAcentral lists this ribosomal RNA (497 nucleotides) under uncultured bacterium. Its description in RNAcentral is "partial 16S ribosomal RNA". It matches the Rfam family "Bacterial small subunit ribosomal RNA", at positions 28 to 507 of the family's 1533-position model. The record is from RNAcentral.
GAUGAACGCUGGCGGCGUGCCUAAUACAUGCCAGUCGAGCGAACGGACGAGAAGCUUGCUUCUCUGACGUUAGCGGCGGACGGGUGAGUAACACGUGGAUAACCUACCUAUAAGACUGGGAUAACUUCGGGAAACCGGAGCUAAUACCGGAUAAUAUUUUGAACCGCAUGGUUCAAAAGUGAAAGACGGUCUUGCUGUCACUUAUAGAUGGAUCCGCGCUGCAUUAGCUAGUUGGUAAGGUAACGGCUUACCAAGGCAACGAUGCAUAGCCGACCUGAGAGGGUGAUCGGCCACACUGGAACUGAGACACGGUCCAGACUCCUACGGGAGGCAGCAGUAGGGAAUCUUCCGCAAUGGGCGAAAGCCUGACGGAGCAACGCCGCGUGAGUGAUGAAGGUCUUCGGAUCGUAAAACUCUGUUAUUAGGGAAGAACAUAUGUGUAAGUAACUGUGCACAUCUUGACGGUACCUAAUCAGAAAGCCACGGCUAACUACGUG